Molecule: ribosomal RNA, 1269 nt
Filed under: activated sludge metagenome
Description: bacterial LSU rRNA
Rfam family: Bacterial large subunit ribosomal RNA
Source: RNAcentral
GGUCGAGUGCGCCUGCGCUGAUAAUCCAACGGGGCUCAAGCCCGACACCGAAGCUGUGGGAUGUUAGGGGACAGGGUAGAGGGGAGAAGGGAGAGGGCGACCUCUAGACCGAAGCCCGCUCCGCUGUACCCUGUGCCCUAACAUCGGUAGGGGAGCGUUCUGGUCAUCAGCGAAGGGGAAGUGGAAACCUCCCUGGAGAGGCCAGAAGAGAGAAUGUCGGCAUGAGUAGCGAGAAGGGCGUGAGAAUCGCCCUCGCCGAAAACCUAAGGUUUCCGACGCAAGGUUGAUCCGCGUCGGGUUAGUCGGGCCUAAGGCGAGGCCAAGAGGCGUAGCCGAUGGACAACGGGUUAAUAAUCCCGUACCGUGGUCAGGGAGCGAAGCGGGGACGCAGGGGAGAAGGCCAGCCGGCAGAUGGUAAGUCGGUGCGCAAGCGAGCCUUCGGGCAGAAGUGGUUGGGAGACCCUGCCGAGAAAAGCCGAUAAGCGAAGAACUGAUCAUGCCCGUACCGUAAACCGACACAGGUGGGUAGGUCGAGAAGACCAAGGCGAGCGAGAGAACCCUGGUUAAGGAACUCGGCAACAUGCACGCGUAACUUUGGGAGAAGCGUGACCCUGUUGAAGGGUGGCACAGAAGAGGCCCUACCGACUGUUUACCAAAAACACAGGUCUCUGCGAAGGCGAAAGCCGACGUAUAGGGGCUGACGCCUGCCCAGUGCCGGAAGGUUAAGGGGAGGGGUGAUAAGCUCUGAACCGAAGCCCCGGUGAACGGCGGCCGUAACUAUAACGGUCCUAAGGUAGCGAAAUUCCUUGUCGGGUAAGUUCCGACCCGCACGAAAGGCGUAACGAGUGGGGCGCUGUCUCAACCAGGGACUCGGCGAAGUUGAGGUAGCCGUGAAGACGCGGCUGACCCGCAGCAGGACAAAAAGACCCCGUGGAGCUUUACUACAGCUUGGCGUAGGGUUAGGGGGCGAUUUGCGUAGGAUAGGUGGGAGGCUGAGAAGCUGGGGUUGCGGCCUCGGUGGAGCCGACGUUGAAAUACCACCCUGAUCGUGUCUUGGCCCUAACGGAUGCCGUGGAUCCGGUGUCUGGACGGCGCCUGGUGGGUAGUUUGACUGGGGCGGUCGCCUCCUAAAGAGUAACGGAGGCGCCCAAGGGUUCCCUUAGGGUGAAUGGAAACCACCCGACAAGUGCAAAGGCAAAAGGGUGCUUGACUGUGAGACCUACAAGUCGAGCAGGGACGAAAGUCGGGCUUAGUGAUCCCACGGUACCG